CUCAGCAGCGCCAAGCCCCGACCGUGACAGGUGCGGAAACGUGCGACUGAUAACGCAUCGGAGGUUUGCGGCGGGGAUGCGAAAGGUGCUUUUCCAUGGUGUACCAGAGUGAGAGAGCAGGAGACAGAGAUUAAGCUGGCUCUUCUGCCCAACAGCUUAUUUGAGAUAUUGGAAAAGGCUCUUCCUGUGCACACAAAUGCUAAGCUGUCUGUUUGGGAGAAAGAUCAGCCUGCAAAAACCCUGUCACCCCUUAAAGUCCACUUCAGUGACAGAUUAAGCCAUGGUAACCACUGUGUUCCCUGGCCCAUAGCAGCGGGUAAGGAUCAGCUUGAGCAAAUAGCGAGAGGCAGAGGCUGAAAGAGGAAGUGCUUUUACCUGGGCAGAGGUGCUGAAGGCCAUGAGCUCCCUGUUAUGUUGGAGACUCUUAGAAAAACAAACGUUAAAAAGGC
Danio aesculapii is the source of this 449-nucleotide long non-coding RNA. RefSeq lists it as uncharacterized. The transcript has 3 exons. Lineage: Eukaryota; Metazoa; Chordata; Actinopteri; Cypriniformes; Danionidae. The record is from RefSeq and is a predicted model, not a curated record.